UAGCAAGAUUCUAUAGAACUUGACUGCAAUUCAGUCAUUUGAUUCAUGUUACAGUAGCUCAUGAGUGAAUGAAUGUGGUGCAAUAAAAGUACUUUUGGAAGUAAACACUUAAAUUUACUUGAGUAGGGUUAGGGGUUGCCACUUCAGCAUGAUUAUUAUCAUUUAUCAAAGUCCCUCCCUCAUAUGUUAACAGUUCAAACGCUGUGGAAUGGUGAGUGCUAAGGAUGGGGGUGACCAAAUUCCCAACUCCUGAGAAUGCAGGAGGGGCAAUAAUGUGGAGCCACAUGCAUUUAAGCUUGUCACAUUGUAUACCUAUACUUUCUACAUUUGUUCAGAUAUUCUAUAAUUAUAUCAGAAUCGUAAUAAGCAAAAUAGAAAUGCCACAUAGAGUAUGGCAUUUCUCAUACUGUCUGCUCCAAAUGCAACAACCAUUAGUUAGUUGGUUCUGGGAAAGCUCUGCUGCUUGUAUCUACAAUCUUGUUCAUUCAGUCACUACCCAAAGCUUGUGACCCUAGGUAAAGGUAGGGACAUAGAUCGACUGGUACAUCGAAAAUCUGAUCUCUGACCCAAAGGAGCAGUGUACAAUCCUUUCAUCCACUGGGAAAACCUCCAAUGUAAAGGUAGCAAGACAGUCAAGAUAAUCACCCCAGCUUGUUGCCUCUCAUCAAGGGGAUUUUUCAGACUGGGUCAUAGUCCAGCCCUUGAAUGAAGGGCAACAAUCUUUCACUCAGGCUCAAGGGUCGACAACCUUCAGCAUCGUGCAUGCAUGGUGUGUAAUGCGAGCUGGAUAAUACAUAUACAGGAUGGUGCAUGUCAGUUCAGUGCUGAGUUAUGUUAUAGUAGUUAUAUAGUAGUAGUUAGUGUAGAGGGAUGUGGUGGUCUGGUUUCUAUGAUCAAGGACAAAAAAACCCAGUUGAACAUACCCUUAUAUUAACCGUUAAUAUAACUGGCCUCCAAUUCCUCCACUACAAACCUGCUAAGGAACUACGUCAAUCUAAUACCACCCCUUAAGAGCAUUAGCAUUUAGUAUAACACUUCUCAAUUGGGCCACAAGAUGGCACUCCAACACAAGGGAUGAAAAUAUUUAUAGUAAGGCUGUUGGUAAGUAGUACACGGUACAGUGUUCAAAGUCAGUGAACUAGUAAAAAAAAAAAAAGGGAGGUGUAUCUAUCAGUCAGCUUAGAGCAAGACUUCUGGUCUCACAGGAGUGCACAGACACACACUAUCUUUCUUGGCUGCUGCCUCAAAGAAUAUCAUGGGUUGUUGGUCUUGUGUGCUGCUCAACACUCAAUAUUUAUAAUUUAAUGUUACUUGUACUUACCUAGGCUGUGGUUUCCUUAAUGCGUUGUUGUCUUUAUGCUUGUUUUCUUCUCUUUUUUCCCCCAGCAGGUGAUCUAGCACAGUGGUUCUCAAACUUUUCACAAUGAGUCUGACCUCUUAAAAUAUAUGGCUCUUAAAGUACCACCCUUAUGACUGACAUUAAAGGACAGUAGCAGUAACAUGGGCUUUGGAGCGUGAUGUCACGGGGGGUGGGCGUGGAAAGGAUUUUGGCCCGAUCCGCCAUUUUGGGGGUCUAGCGCAAGUGAAAAGGGAGCGAAGUCACACACAACAGCCAUGGUUCGUAUUUGCUGUGUGGUCGGCUGCAAUGUUCGAUCACACGACCGGCAAGAGAAUAAGGUUGAAAAUGGUUUAUCUUUUCAUUCUUUCCCAACCUGGAAGCAACAUGAGCAGCUCGUGUAUUGAUGUUACCAAACGAAGGCGUCUAGCCUGGAUAGCAGCUGUGAGACGAGCUGACGUGCAGUUCUCUUCCAUCUCCAAAUAUCUGUUGGUGCUCCAGACAUUUUCAUUCCGCAAACCAGCCUAUGAAAUGGAUGAAACAUCGUGACUGGGUUCCAGCGCUACACAAGGGACCUGCUGCAAACAUACCACCAUGCCAAUCAGAUUACUUCUUCCAUGUGAGGGUGAAGAGUUGACCCUUCUGGAUAAGAUGGUGAAGGUUUGGUGAACAGUGUGGUAGUAAAACCAGGGAAAAAUGAAACCUGCUCCUGUUAAAUAUUCUUAAGUCUUGUGCUGUUAAAAUUGCUGUAUUUUUUCAAAAGAUACAGUAAAUAAAGUAAUGUUAGUAGUGGGUGAUGUCAUGUAAACACUCAUGAUUUUGUGUAAACAUUUUGUCAUUUGUAAACUAUAAAUGACAUGGAUUCUACAUUGUAACUGAUGUGAUGUUCUAUAAGGUGGUUUCAAUAAAAAAAAGAG
Astatotilapia calliptera (eastern happy) is the source of this 2253-nucleotide long non-coding RNA. The record is from Ensembl. Lineage: Eukaryota; Metazoa; Chordata; Actinopteri; Cichliformes; Cichlidae.